GACGAACGCUGGCGGCGUGCUUAACACAUGCAAGUCGAACGGAAAGGCCCUGCUUGCAGGGUACUCGAGUGGCGAACGGGUGAGUAACACGUGGGUGAUCUGCCCUGCACUUCGGGAUAAGCCUGGGAAACUGGGUCUAAUACCGGAUAGGAGCCAUUUUUAGUGUGAUGGUUGGAAAGUUUUUUCGGUGUAGGAUGAGCUCGCGGCCUAUCAGCUUGUUGGUGGGGUAAUGGCCUACCAAGGCGGCGACGGGUAGCCGGCCUGAGAGGGUGGACGGCCACAUUGGGACCGAGAUAAGGCCCAGACGCCUACGGGAGGAAGCAGUGGGGAAUAUUGAACAAUGGGCGCAAGCCUGAUGCAGAGACGCCGCGGGGGGGAUGACGGCCUUCGGGUUGUAAAAUCCUUUCGCUAGGGACGAAGCUUUUUGUGACGGUACCUAGAUAAGAAGCACCGGCUAACUACGUG
RNAcentral lists this ribosomal RNA (465 nucleotides) under uncultured bacterium. RNAcentral describes it as "partial 16S ribosomal RNA". It matches the Rfam family "Bacterial small subunit ribosomal RNA", at positions 28 to 507 of the family's 1533-position model. The record is from RNAcentral.